AUGUCCGGGGUCAACAUUAGUGGAACUUGGCGCACCCUAGUGCCAUCGGCUUCUUGGCGUUUCGAAACGAAGACUGCAAGGGGCCUCGAGGUGGUGGUGGUGCAUCUCUACACCCCACAGGAGGAAGAGCUUGGGCAAGAGGCGUCCAUGGUGGCCAGAGCCGAGGUGGAUGACGAAGCAGUGGUCCCGCGGUUGAAGACGAACGGCAAUGGCACGGGUAACAAGGGAGGUCCGAGGGCGCGGUGGUGCUGA
RNAcentral lists this ribosomal RNA (252 nucleotides) under Triticum aestivum (bread wheat). RNAcentral describes it as "partial small subunit ribosomal RNA". The record is from RNAcentral. Lineage: Eukaryota; Viridiplantae; Streptophyta; Magnoliopsida; Poales; Poaceae.